CGAGGUCGGAGAUAUUACAGAAUUUGAUCGGUUGGAAAGAAUUUUAUUAGUGUUUGAUACACACAGUAAUGAUAUAGCCAAUUAGUUCUAAGCUCCCAGGUACGGGAGCAGCUUACUCUAUAUCCACCUUAAUAUUCCGCUAUAUUAAUGGAUAAAACACUUAAUGAUGCGAUGAGAUUGUGCGUUUGUGGGCAAGAAAGACGUGUCACUAUUGCAAAGCCUAGCAAGGAUGGAGAACAGAAACCAAUAGAUCAAAAUGAAGUAGUGAUCUCAUCUCAACGUCGAUCAUGAACUGUAGGUACUGACGGAACUUGCAGGUAUUGACGCGUCCUAACCGCCAGGGGGAGUCCCUAGCAUACUGUAUACCGGAAUACCCGGGCGUUUUCAAAAUCUGAAUUCUGUGUUUGAAAAGGGUGUUCCGUGUUGUAGAUCACUACGAGCAGCUGUUUAACCAUCUGCAGAAGAACCCCCAGGCAGAGGGUAUCACUGGGCUUCUGCUGCUGUACCCGAGAUGUAUCCUGCAUGUGCUGGAGCUCUCUCCUGAAGGAUGCCAGGAUCCUGGUGAUGUCCUACAGUGUUCCGGCCCAUGUGUUCCACGAGUGGGGGUUCAGGUGCCUGAACCUGCCCCUGAGCCUGCAGGAGGAGGCCCGGAGCCCACAGACCAUGGAGAGCUUGGUUCCCGACUGCCUCUCCCUGCUCUACAGGCUGUGCGCACACCUGCUGAAGGGCAGCACAGACCAGGGUGACCGCGAGGAGGGGGAGGCGGGGGAGGAGGUCCAGGAGCAGGACCUGCUGGUGGAGGAGGAGACCGUGGCCCAGCUGUGCCACAGUACCGCCCUGCGCACGCCCGCCUCCUUCCUGCAGGCCUACCACGCGCCCCUGCACGUCCUCAUGGACUCAGGUGAUUCGGAUUCACUACGGGAGUUCAAUAACCACCCCCAUCACACACGGUUCUGGGCCAGGCCGGAUCGUCAGACAGCCAGGCCAAAGUACCUGCUGUCAGGAGGUUGCUGGUUCAAAGCCACCUAAGUACUGUCACUCUGAGCGAGUUACCCAAUGCCUUUGUGCUCACGUACGUCACCAACUAGUG
This 1090-nucleotide long non-coding RNA is filed under the name Lepisosteus oculatus (spotted gar). RNAcentral describes it as "lncRNA (ENSLOCG00000021084.1)". The record is from RNAcentral. Lineage: Eukaryota; Metazoa; Chordata; Actinopteri; Semionotiformes; Lepisosteidae.